This 325-nucleotide ribosomal RNA is filed under the name uncultured eukaryote. RNAcentral's name for it is "partial 18S ribosomal RNA". It matches the Rfam family "Eukaryotic small subunit ribosomal RNA", at positions 1470 to 1796 of the family's 1831-position model. The record is from RNAcentral.
CCCUUAGAUGUUCUGGGCCGCACGCGCGCUACACUGACUGCUCCAACAAGUUACCUGGGCUGACAAGCAUCCGGGAAAUCUUGCAAAGGCAGUCGUGAUGGGGAUAGAUUCUUGUAAUUUUUGAUCUUCAACGAGGAAUUCCUAGUAAACGCAAGUCAUCAGCUUGCAUUGAUUACGUCCCUGCCCUUUGUACACACCGCCCGUCGCAUCUACCGAUUGAAUGGAGAGGCAAAAUCUUCGGACCGUGACGCUUGGGAGUCAAAUCUCGGACUGUCGUGGGAAGUGGAUUAAACCUUUCUAUUUAGAGGAAGGUAAAGUCGUAACA